UGUUGAAAGGCGCUUUCGCGCCACUGCAAGGAUGGGCCAGCGGUGCAUAGCUAGUUGGUGGGGUAACGGCCUACCAAGGCGACGAUGCAUAGCCGACCUGAGAGGGUGAUCGGCCACAUGGGACUGAGACACGGCCCAACUCCUACGGGAGGCAGCAGUAGGAAUCUUCCACAAUGGACGAAAGUCUGAUGGAGCAACGCCGCGUGAGUGAUGAAGGUUUUCGGAUCGUAAAACUCUGUUGUAAAGGGAAGAAAAGUACGUUAGGAAAUGAACGUACCUGACGGUACCUUAUUAGAAAGCCACGGCUAAUACGUGCCAGCAGCCGCGGUAAUACGUAGGUGGCAAGCGU
RNAcentral lists this ribosomal RNA (349 nucleotides) under uncultured Bacillaceae bacterium. Its description in RNAcentral is "bacterial SSU rRNA". It matches the Rfam family "Bacterial small subunit ribosomal RNA", at positions 198 to 541 of the family's 1533-position model. The record is from RNAcentral. Lineage: Bacteria; Bacillati; Bacillota; Bacilli; Caryophanales; Bacillaceae.